Long non-coding RNA from Pygocentrus nattereri (red-bellied piranha), 1328 nucleotides. RefSeq lists it as uncharacterized. The record is from RefSeq and is a predicted model, not a curated record. NCBI's taxonomy places the organism in Eukaryota, Metazoa, Chordata, Actinopteri, Characiformes, Serrasalmidae. The transcript is spliced from 2 exons.
ACACAGAAAUUCCUCACACCUCGCCGCUCUCCUUUCGAAAAAGUGAGAGAAACCUCCCUCGAUAUCAUCAUUCUGCUCGUCCAGCUCCACCGUCUACAGGGCAGUCAUGCUGCAUCCUCUCAUGAUUGGGAUUGUAACGGUCAACACUCUUAUCACUGUGGUGGAGUGGACCUGGAUGAUGAACGAGGCUAUGAAGGAGGAGGAACCCCCCGAGAAUGCAGUUGCACCGGCAUAACCGUGUGCUGCCAAUCAGCCUGUAAGCAGAAUAUGGAGUUCUUAGAUCUCCUCAUGGAGGUACAUAGUGGUAGGAGACAGUCUCUCACUUCAAAACAGCUGCUUGUAGACCAGCAUCAUCUGCAACACGAAGGAGCUUGUAAUGUAUUAAGAUUGGGUCCUUGCUCCGAAAACUGAAGUGGAGGAUGCAGAAAGAGGCCCUGGCGAAGGAGAAUAUGAUGAUGAUGAUGACGACAGCGAUGAUGACACCAAUGAAGAAGGGAGGAGGAUGAGUGCAGAGGUGCAGACUAUAGCGGAAGUAGCUGGCUUGCUGCCAGGGCUGCAGAGAUGUUCUAGCUUCUCCUACCCCUGCAACCAACAUGGAAGCCGGGCCAGCUUGUCCACUCAGCAGAGAGGGUCAUGUCCUUCCACCAAUGAAAUAUCAAUCCGAGUACCAUAUGUUACCUCCCUAUGAGUUUUAAAAGCCUGUCCAUUCUUUUCAAUUUCUUUUUCCACUUAAAUACAUUUCUACGUCACUGAAACAUGUUUAAAGGUACAAUAAGUGGCAUUUUACGCUUGCCACUGGUUACAUGGCUGGACAUUGUCCGCCUGACUGCUGUAGGAAUGAAAGGAAUUUUCUCAGCCAAUGGCCUUCCAGAGAUUAUUUGUCUUUAUGUUCUUGUACAGCAGGCUAAACCUACAUGAGGUUAUAUGGAAAUUCCCGCUUAUUGUAUCUUUACAUUACAGUCCUGCUUAAUUUGUUGCUGUAGGAAAGCAAAGCAUUUUUUGGUCUCUUGGGAUCAAAGCUUUAACAUAAUACCGGUCUCGAAAUGCAGUGGUGUUAAUCUGCUGCGUUCACAGUUGUAGAGUUCUACAGAUCAGCUGUAGUCCUAUGUAACUCAAUGAAGGGUAACAGAAUUUCAGAAUUUUGUUUACGAAUGUAAUUCUGUAUGUUGGUUCUAUGUAACAGAGUUCUAGAAUUUCUUGGGUCAGAGUUCUAGCUCUUCAUGGGCCAAAUAUUCUGUACUAAUAUAUUCAAUGUAAUAAACUUCUUGUCAUGUUCUCUGUGACAGGUGGUUGGUUAAGCUUCUCAAUAAAGAAAUACACUGACUCGU